Long non-coding RNA from Triticum dicoccoides, 3315 nucleotides. RefSeq lists it as uncharacterized. Lineage: Eukaryota; Viridiplantae; Streptophyta; Magnoliopsida; Poales; Poaceae. The transcript is spliced from 6 exons. The record is from RefSeq and is a predicted model, not a curated record.
UUGGUUUAGAGUUAGCCUUGGCUGCUCCCCUGCUUGAAAAUGGCCCUGAUUUAGGUUUAGAGCUAACCUUCCUUAGGCUAUUUCACACGCUAUGACUGAAGUUUUUGUUCCCUGCUAAAAAGCCUUCAUUUUUGUUACCUCCGAUUCAGGUUCUCCUGAUUCAGGUUCAUUUUUGUGUACUGCUCCCUGCUAAGAAACCUUCAUCUUACAAUGCUUUUGUUAGCUCUGUCUGAACAUUUUCUUAUUACCCUUUCAGUGCCUGCUCUCAUAAAGAUGAAUGUGUCCUGUUCGUCAAUGCCGGUGGGUAUAUCUGAGAAAACUGCAAAGGAAGCAGAAGACAAUGUGCUCCCGAGAGAGAUGUGAGGAGACGAGAGAGGAGAUUGCUGGAUCUGGAAAUGGAGGUCAGCACUACCUACAGGACAAGAGCGCCAGUCCUCUCCGACUCUUCAAGGUCUCUCAUGCUCUGCUCUUGCUCUGGCUGAAUUAGAAGUUAGCAUUAAAAGCUGGUGUGUUUUAUGACAGAGUGACAAAUAUGACUAUUUGGGGAAACCAUUCAACAACUCAGGUUCCUAAUUUCUUGAAUGCCAAAAUUAAUGGGAGGCCAGUAAAAGAAGUCAUCAAAGAUACAAAGUGGCUAGAAGAGGAUUUUCCUAUAACUGUUCAAAAGGUAGACGGAGAAGGUGGUGAUGCCGCCAAGGCUGUUGCUCCCGGUGUCAGAGAGGGUGUCGCUGACCGAUGCCGCCGGCUUGCCCGAGGUGGCCUGCACGUCUUCAUGACCAGCCAUCUCUCCAGCAUCUCGCACAAUGUAUUCAGAGAGAUGCUGCCACUGGUGAUACAUCUGUGCGAAGCCAGAUCCAGAAUGAGUCGACAGAGUUGGGAGUAGCGAUACAACAUCUGGGGGCUAUGCCUUUUGAGCUUGGACGGACAAUGAUGACGCUUAGAAUGGGGCCUUCUCCUGUAUGCAUUUUUCUACUAUGUCACUAUCACACAAGUGAUUCACAAGGUUUAAGUAUUCUGAUAGCUUUUUUAUUUUGUAGGCUAAUGCUUUUGUAAAUGCUGGGCAUGCUGUUUAUACAAACCCCACUGGACCAAGUCCAAUCAUGGUUCAGGCUACCUGUAUAGCUUUGCUUUCCUAUCAUGAACUGCUGACAACUUUGUUUUGGGCUAUCAUGCUAGCAUGCACUGUAACAUAUAUCACUAUGUAUUAACAUGCUACCUAAGUAUCUAUUUCUUUAUACUUUAAGGAUCUUAUUAUCAGUCCUUAAACAAAUCUUACGUGCAUGAUUUGAAUGCUUGGUUUGCUGUCGCCCUUUGCACCAUCGGUGCAACGGGUGGUUAGCUGCUUUUUUAUGUGUGAGAAUGUCAGGAAUGUUUUUAUAUGUGCCCAGAUUUAUUUGGUGUGCCUGCUAUGUUUCACUUUCACUGCUCUUUGUUGAAUAAAUUGAGAAAUUCUUGAUUAUUUUUAUGUUAUUUCUUUACAUGAAGGAUCCAGAUUAAAAUCUAAUGUGUUAUUCUUGCUGGCUUAGUUUAAACAAAUGCAUUUUAGAUCACCUACUUCUCAGUUCAUGCAUUUUGGAUCCAAAGCCUCCGUUAGGUUUUUGGAUGUGCUCUCUUAGGUAGGUUUUCUUUUCUCUUUCUUUCCUUCCUCUUGGGACUGUUUAUUCUCUGUCUGUAUAUAUUUGCUUCGAUUGAAAUAAAGGACCAUGGGGCUUUUGCUCCACAUUGGAUAGUGGAAAAAAAAGUAACAUGUAUUUGGUUUAAACUGUUUGAAGUUAACAAGGACCAAGUAACAUACUAUGUGCUUGCUCUGUUUGGUCAUGGCAUAUGAAUCUGAUUAGAUCAUCGCAGUUGAAUAAUUAGAAACCUUGGGGAGGAAUAUGAUGUGUGUUUCUGUUUCAGUUACAGAGACUUGGUCUCGUGUUAUGCCUCAUAAGGUCGAGGCAUGUGUUACAGAGGCUAGGAAGAUUAUUUUUCUGUUGUUGAUUAUGUUUUUUUGAUAAUGCAAAAACACCUAUGUACUAAUAACCUAUAUACUGAUGUUGUACUAACAAUAGUUUCCUUCUUUUCCAUUGCAGUAAGUAGAAGUUAUAUUUUUUUCUGACCAUUCCUUUCUUCUCCUAGGCCAUCGAUUUGCUUUCCGCUCGGAUUACACUGCCUGCAGCCUCCUAUUUGUGACGCCGUGGAACCAAAGGUAUGCUUCUCUCUGUACCGGAUCUGAUUCUUUUUGCCUGCUCUAUUUGCGCUCAAUCAACAUAUGUAUCUGCACUGCUAGAAGUGAAAUAGAAAUUCAGAGGGAGAUAAAAAGGCUACGUGCUCACAACAGGGGUGGUUAGUUCUUCGUAUUCCUCUCUAUCAUUGGUUGGAAUGUACCACUGGUUUCUCUAUGUAAGCUUCCCACCUUCUUGUUCUACCUGAUGCAGAACACGUGCUUUCAUCACCUACAAUAGUCAGUUGUUUUUGGCACUCUGUGCAAGCGGUACAUCAUCGAUAGGCAUUGGAUCGCUGUUCUCUUACUUCAACGAUUUUUGUUUCAGCUACCCAAUUUUUGUCUUGAUGGUUGUCUAAGAUGAGUUUCACUUCCUUGUUCAAAUCAUCCCUGCAGUAGAAGCCAUGCAAGCGCCAUGUAAAAUGGUUUUGAAUCGGAACCGAAGCCAUCUGUUGGAAGUAACAUCUGUAGGGACUGAACAUGUAUGUCACUCCCAGUAAUAUAGAGUGAAGGCAAUAAUAACAACAUUGUUUGUUGUUGGUUUAUAAUGGGUGAGUUCCUACUCCUUGGAUUCACCUGUUUAUCGCCUGCACACCUUGGCUAGGAUAUGUUGUUUCUUAAUAUUACCUGCAAGUCUGAAUCUUUUAAUUAUUUGUACAAUAUUUUUCAUUAUAGGAGUAUUGGCCAUCGUUUAUUCUUGGUAUGCACAUCAAAGUUUCAGAUAUUCUUAAUUGUGGAUGUACCUUUAGGAUUUCAUGAAAUAGAUAUGCAUCAUAUAUUGAUGCGUGUCCUAAGCAGCAGAUCAUUACUAUAGUUUAUGUAGUGUCUGAACCUUACAUUAUGUUCCUUCUUUUGAGUUUUCACAUAAAGCUAGGGUGUUCCUCUGUUUAGAGAGUUUAGAUAGAAGGCAAUAUUGAACCACCUCCGUUUAUUGUCUCGAUAUGAUCUUUUAACAUUGUUUCUCAACUGUGUUCAAUCUGGCUUAUCAAUAAAAUAUACUCACUGUCAUGCAUUCUGCCUUGAUCCGUUGGCUACAUUUAUUUGGUUGGGUUAGUGCGGGUAUCUGGCCAAGCUACUUGGCUCACUUUCGUUGCCUUUUGCGGGUCCUU